Molecule: microRNA precursor, 113 nt
Filed under: Gossypium hirsutum (cotton)
Lineage: Eukaryota; Viridiplantae; Streptophyta; Magnoliopsida; Malvales; Malvaceae
Description: miR156b stem-loop (ghr-MIR156b)
Gene: ghr-MIR156b
Rfam family: mir-156 microRNA precursor family (bases 2-92)
About the family: This family represents the plant microRNA (miRNA) precursor mir-156. Animal miRNAs are transcribed as ~70nt precursors and subsequently processed by the Dicer enzyme to give a ~22nt product.
Source: miRBase by way of RNAcentral
GGUGACAGAAGAGAGUGAGCACACAGGGUACUUUCUUGCAUGCUUGAGCCUUUCAUGCUUGAAGCUCUGCGUGCUCACCCUCUAUCUGUCAUCCACUUUUCUCUCUCUCUCUC